GGCAGUGUCUGUGAGGGUGAAAGUAUCUGUUCAGGGCUCACCUCUGAGGAAAACCUUCUCGACAGAAAGGCGAAAUUUAAACUGACAAGGGAGAACCCUCUAAAAGCAAAAGGCAUCAUGGGACGAGGUGAGAGUGAAGACUGGGAUGAAGAGCCUAAGGAGACAAAAACAACUCAGCCUAAGAAACAUGGGGACAAAGAGGGCAAAGGCUCACAUGGUGGAGGCUGUCCAAAGUGCUGCUUAAGGACCAGGGAUUGCCUCAUGAGCCCGGAAUGUGGAAGGGCGCUGCAGAUCUCCAGUGUUGUUGCAUUCUGUGGAAUGUGCAUCGGUGGAUGGACGUAAUAAAACCUGGGCAUCAAGACCUUCAAGGCUUUUAUAUGAACUAUGAAGAAUCCUUUAGUCUUCUGGAUGAGAUACUUCACUCUAAUUUAAAAUGAAAAAUGUUUUGUUUAACUCAUUAUUUCCUCUUCCUAACCUCUGUAGAUAUAACAUACCAGUGUUUUGGAGAAAAUUGUAUGUAAGUUCGAUGUUGAUGUAAAUUUCUAUUCUUUUGUCAAAGUGCUGUUGUGUAGACAGGCCAGAUGUUUGAUUAUGAUACAUUUUACUUAAAUAUUUUAAAGCAUACUCUUUAAUAUAUUUUUAUGUAUGUAAAUAACAGUGUGUCAUAUUUGUAUAUGUGGUAUAUGUACAGGAAGUGUAUUUUUGUGAGUUUGUAUAUACAUAAAAUAAGAUAAUGUUUUGAAGCCUUAAGUAAGGCUUUCAAUUACAAUUUACAGGCAAAAGUGCUAAACUUUAAAUACUCUUGUAAUUUUAUUUAUUGUAAUUUAUGUUAAGGUAAAUAUUUGGGAAUUUUCCCUAAAGUUUGGGUCACACAUAAGAAACAAAUGAAAGAAAAUGAUAGUGUGGUUCUCACAAUUUACAAAAUAAAGCAUCUUCACAUUUAACAGGA
This is a long non-coding RNA of Girardinichthys multiradiatus, 949 nucleotides long. RefSeq lists it as uncharacterized. NCBI's taxonomy places the organism in Eukaryota, Metazoa, Chordata, Actinopteri, Cyprinodontiformes, Goodeidae. The transcript has 3 exons. The record is from RefSeq and is a predicted model, not a curated record.